ACACAUACGUACAUACGUAGGGUGGGGGUGUUGCCCAGUGGCAGAACCCUCUGGGUUAGAAACUGGAACUGUCCCAAAGCACCCCCAAUCCAAACCAUAGUGAAUGCACUAUAUUAUCACCCUGCCCCUCGCUGUUACUUAGGGUACAGGCUGCGGGUGGCUCUCUCCAGCUGGCGUGGGUGUGGGGCAGAGCUGGAAGUAACCCUGGUCUGGUCUCUGGUGUCCUUUCCUGUCCAUCUGGGUGUGGUAUUCCCACAGUGGGUCUACGGGCUUUGUGUUGCUCAAUUGGGCUGGGGGAUCGGUUUCCUGUGCACCCCCCCCACAACAAGGCAUCCUCGGUUUUGGCACUUCCUUUGCUGCUCUGGGCAGCACAAGUUGCUGGCAUCCCACCACCUUCCUGCCCACUGCGGCCAAGCCAGGAAACCAGAACGCCAGGCCUGCACUCCGGGACUCCACCAGCACCUGCAGUCACGAUGGGGCCCGGGACCCCUGAGCCUCCUCCUCCAUACCCCUAGUUCUGACGGCCAGCUUCCCAUUGGGAGACCAUCUCACCACUCCAUAGCAGAUCUUAAACAACGCAUUGCCAAGAUCCUCCCCCUCACUUGCAGCGAGCACCCUUGUCCCACUGUUUGCCUCUUUCUGGAGCAGUUCUGGAAGUCCUAUUUCCUGAGUGUCUGUGAGAGGUGGGAUCAGAAACAGAGAGUACUGCUGCUGAGCAGCCCAUCUGACAGAAAGGCUGCUCCUGAAAAUAUUGCAGUGUGUCUGCAUCUGCCUUGCUCACUGGAUCUGGCGCUGCUUCCCCAGAGUCAAAAGGACCAUGAGAGAGAAAUGUUUCCAAUCACUUCAAAGCGUGGAGGCGGGCACGGCUGUGCCUCCGAAGAUUCUGGCGGGAGUGGGGGGGGGCGACUUCCAGACCUGUGCGGAAGGGGCAAGAAGCAUGUUGGGGGCGGAGCUAUUUUGAGGGGAUUAAACAGAAUACCUUUUAUUGUAUUAAAAAUGUUUAAAUUUCAAUGUGCUCUUUUUAGAUCAUACCAAGUAUGUGUGUACAAUUACUUGCCACCUACCACUUUUAUUUUUACCACCAGUAGCAGCACAUUGCUACAGUUUGUGCCUUCCCCUUUCCUCCUCUAUCAUAAUGUAGCCAGCAGAAUAAUGCCCCCCAAACAGGUUCACAUCCUGAUCCCUGGAACUGGAGAACUGUUACCUUAAUGGCAAAAAGGACUCCACAGAUCCAAUUAAGGACCCAGAGACGAGGAGAUAUUUGUAACGUCCAGGGAGCCCCGUCUCACCUUUAAAAUCAGAGACUCUGCUGGCUGUGUCAGAGGGAUGUGUGACGGAUGGAUGCAGGGUUGCGGCAAAGGCAGAGUGGAUGGGGGAGGGACCACAGGCCAAGGAGCUGCAGGCAUAGGAGCUGGAAAAGUGUAGGAAGUGGAUUCUCCCUACAGCAUUCAGGAUGGAGCAGCCAGCCCGUGCUGGAUCUUUGCCGUCUCGAGACGCAUGUGACAGACUUCCAAUCUACCUAAUGCAUUUAUGUGAAAUGCAUAAAACAUAUGUGAGCUAAAUCUCUUACAAUCAGUCACCAGAACAACA
This 1590-nucleotide long non-coding RNA is filed under the name Fukomys damarensis (Damara mole-rat). RNAcentral's name for it is "lncRNA (ENSFDAG00000029094.1)". The record is from RNAcentral. Lineage: Eukaryota; Metazoa; Chordata; Mammalia; Rodentia; Bathyergidae.